Molecule: long non-coding RNA, 917 nt
Filed under: Homo sapiens (human)
Lineage: Eukaryota; Metazoa; Chordata; Mammalia; Primates; Hominidae
Description: HSALNT0290313
Source: RNAcentral
AGUGGUCCUGGCUCUAGGGAGUGUGCUGCCCGCCGCACCUGGGCUGCGGGGAGCGGAGGCAGGCAGCUUCUGGCCCUGGAGGUGGGGACUCACAGGAUAUUAGGAGGCCCCAAGGGGGUUCCAAUGCCCCCACCUCCACUCCUGCCCCAAGAAACGGUGAAAUAGACACGAAGAAGGAAGCUGAGACCAGAGAGGGAAAGAGACUUGGCCAAGGCCCACAGCCUGGUGGGGAUGACUCCGUGGGCUGAGAGUCCCUAUCGAGGAGUCCCCGUCUUCCCCAGACCUUCUUGCUCAGCAGGGCCGUUGUAAAUGGAGGUGAGUUGGAGGUGAGUCAUUUAGACUCUCAGGAAACCAAGCCUAGUCCAAUAUUAAUCAUGGAACCAGAGACACUGAGUGCAAGAAGGAAAUGGAACCAACCGAUGGUGGCAGCAGCUUCAUCGGAGGUGCAGGCGAGGAGAGCGCACCCAUGGGUGCGUCCGUGCAGGGAGGUCUGAGAGUAAAAGUCCAAGAAAAGCCGAGUGCGGUGACUCACAUCUGUAAUCUCAGCACUUCGGGAAGCCAAGAGGGGCAGAUUGCUUGAGCCCAGGAGUUUGAGACCCGCCUGAGCAAGAUAGCAAAACCCCAUCUCUACUAAAAAUGCAAAAAUUAGCCAAGUGUGGUGGUACUUACUGUAAUUCCAGCUACUUGGUAGGCUGAGAAAGGAGGACUGCUUGAGCCCUAGAGGUCAAGACUGCAGUGAGACACGAUUGCACCACUGUACUCCAGGCUGGGUGAUAGAGCCAGACCCUGUCAAAAAAAAAAAAAAUCCAUGGGAAAACGGAUGCUCAGAGAAGAAAUUGGCCUAAGCCAUCCAGUAAGUUCCAGAUUCAAACCCAGGUUUGUGAGUCUAGAGUGAGCCUCUGCCCUGGUGGUCGCAG